This 253-nucleotide ribosomal RNA is filed under the name uncultured bacterium. RNAcentral's name for it is "partial 16S ribosomal RNA". It matches the Rfam family "Bacterial small subunit ribosomal RNA", at positions 524 to 776 of the family's 1533-position model. The record is from RNAcentral.
UACGUAGGUGACAAGCGUUGUCCGGAUUUACUGGGCGUAAAGAGCGCGCAGGCGGUCGUUCAAGUCGAGUGUGAAAGCCCCCGGCUCAACUGGGGAGGGUCACUCGAUACUGAUCGACUUGAAGGCAGGAGAGGGAAGCGGAAUUCCCGGUGUAGUGGUGAAAUGCGUAGAUAUCGGGAGGAACACCAGUGACGAAGGCGGCUUCCUGGCCUGUUCUUGACGCUGAGGCGCGAAAGCUAGGGGAGCAAACGGG